GGCGGGCGACUGCCGUUACACAUGCGAAGUCGGACGGGAAGGUGGUGGUUUCCGUACGUAGGCGGAACGGGUCGGAGGUAACGACCGUAAGAAACCGAACCCUUACGGGAGGGGGAACGAACAAGCUGGAAACGGACUGCUAAUACCCCGUACGGCGUGAGGAGGCAAAAGGAGGAAUCCGCCCGAGGAGGGGCGUCGCGUCUGAUUAGCUAGUUGGUGAGGCAAUAGCUUACCAAGGCGAUGAUCAGUAGCUGGUCCGAGAGGAUGAUCAGCCACACUGGGACUGAGACACGGCCCAGACUCCUACGGGAGGCAGCAGUGGGGAACUUUCCGCAAUGGACGAAAGCCUGACGGAGCAAUGCCGCGUGAAGGUAGAAGGCCUACGGGUCAUGAACUUCUUUUCCCGGAGAAGAAGCAAUGACGGUAUCCGGGGAAUAAGCAUCGGCUAACUCUGUG
RNAcentral lists this ribosomal RNA (456 nucleotides) under uncultured bacterium. RNAcentral describes it as "bacterial SSU rRNA". It matches the Rfam family "Bacterial small subunit ribosomal RNA", at positions 35 to 507 of the family's 1533-position model. The record is from RNAcentral.